This 72-nucleotide microRNA precursor is filed under the name Strigamia maritima. Its description in RNAcentral is "mir-153 microRNA precursor family". It matches the Rfam family "mir-153 microRNA precursor family". The record is from Rfam by way of RNAcentral. Lineage: Eukaryota; Metazoa; Arthropoda; Chilopoda; Geophilomorpha; Linotaeniidae.
UCUGUCAUCAUUUUUGUGAUUUUUGCAAUUGUGUUUACAACCAAAUUGCAUAGUCACAAAAGUGAUGGGAGA